GAUUAACGCUGGCGGCGUGCCUAACACAUGCAAGUCAAACGGGGUAGCAAUACCUAGUGGCAGACGGGUGAGUAACGCGUGGUCAACCUACCCUUUAGCGGGGAUAACUAGCCGAAAGGUUAGCUAAUACCGCAUGAAACAUAGCCGGGCAUCCGGCGAUGUUGAAAGAAGCAAUUCGCUUUUGGAUGGGACCGCGUCCGAUUAGUUAGUUGGUGGGGUAACGGCCUACCAAGACUCCGAUCGGUAGCCGGUUUGAGAGAGCGACCAGCCACACUGGGACUGAGAAACGGCCCAGACUCCUACGGGAGGCAGCAGUGAGGAAUUUUCCGCAAUGGGCGAAAGCCUGACGGAGCGACGCCGCGUGUGGGAAGAAGGCCUUCGGGUCGUAAACCACUGUCGAAGGGGACUAUAUUGAAGGUACCCUUGGAGGAAGCCCCGGCUAACUACGUGCCAGCAGCCGCGGUAAGACGUAGGGGGCAAGCGUUAUUCGGAAUUAUUGGGCGUAAAGCGCUCGUAGGCGGGAAAACAAGUCCGUGUUGAAAUACCUCGGCUCAACUGAGGACCCGGCUCGGAUACUGU
Molecule: ribosomal RNA, 579 nt
Filed under: uncultured bacterium
Lineage: Bacteria
Description: bacterial SSU rRNA
Rfam family: Bacterial small subunit ribosomal RNA
Source: RNAcentral